RNAcentral lists this small RNA (416 nucleotides) under Pongo abelii (Sumatran orangutan). RNAcentral's name for it is "processed transcript". The record is from RNAcentral. Lineage: Eukaryota; Metazoa; Chordata; Mammalia; Primates; Hominidae.
AGAGGGCGACAACGCAGCGCCACUCUUACAGGAAUUCCCUUCACCUCUUCCUUCAUGAUCCUAUCUCAGCACCGUCUCUGCGAGGGGGAAAAAGAAGGCUCGCUGAUGAAUGGCCUUGCCCGAGAUGGACAGCCGUAUUCCUUAUGAUGACUACCCGGUGGUUUUCUUGCCUGCCUAUGAGAAUCCUCCAGCAUGGAUUCCUCCUCAUGAGAGGGUACACCACCCAGACUACAACAAUGAGUUGACCCAGUUUCUGCCCCGAACCAUCACACUGAAGAAGCCUCCUGGAGCUCAGUUGGGAUUUAACAUCCGAGGAGGAAAGGCCUCCCAGCUAGGCAUCUUCAUCUCCAAGGUGAUUCCUGACUCUGAUGCACAUAGAGCAGGACUUCAGGAAGGGGACCAAGUUCUAGCUGUGA